This is a long non-coding RNA of Peromyscus californicus insignis, 3772 nucleotides long. RefSeq lists it as uncharacterized. The record is from RefSeq and is a predicted model, not a curated record. The transcript is spliced from 3 exons. NCBI's taxonomy places the organism in Eukaryota, Metazoa, Chordata, Mammalia, Rodentia, Cricetidae.
GCCACCCUCCACACACUGGCUGUUGAUUCUGCUGAUCGUUCCCUCUUGGUGGCAGGUGGAUACCUCCACUCCAGACAUAAUAAUCCUGUUCAAAGCAGAAAAACAAAAAACAAACAAACCAAAACUUAUCCAGAAGUCCAUCACGGCUAGCUCUUUUUACUCCACUGGUCAAAACUGGGUGGCAUUUCCCCUCUAACUGCAAGCAAGGCUAGAAAAUUGAACGUGCGUCAUAGAGGAACAGGGACUAGGCACAUGGCUGGCCUGAAAUAAAAUGAAGGUGUGGUAGGUUAAAAAGAGAAGUUCUGCUGGGCAUGAAAUACCAGUGGUCACAGAAGCGGGAGAUGACGGCCCAGGGUACAAGAAAUGGAGGUUAUAGAGCUUGGUAACAGAACGUGGGGAAUGAGGGACCAGAGAAGUCAUGGGUUAGGGUACAUUCACUAAGACAAAGGACAUGGGAAAAGCCACAGGGAUGGGGAAGAUAGAGUCACUUUUAGAAUUCAGGUGUCUGUAUGGUGUCACUGUGGAGUCCAGAUGUCUGCAUGUAUCCAAAGACUAACACCAAGAACAGAGGUGAGUGAUGGCCUUGGAGUGCGGAAUAAGAACUUGAGCAUCGUGGGAGCCACAGGGUGUGUGAAUUUGUUAAAGAAGGUGCUUGUGGCUGUACAGGGAGGUGUGCAACUCGGCUAAGGCUGGAGAGAGAAAUCGCACACUCUUGGUCAAGCAGCAGGAGGCGUGGAUACCUGAGAUGUGAGAGCGUGCUGUGCUCGGCUGAGAAGGUGGCUCUCCCUCCGCCCCAGGUCCGUGCUUGUUUUUCUUCUGUAGAUGAGACAUACUUGGAAACAUCAUUUCCCUGUAUCUUCAUGACCAUCCUUUGAAGCAGGUGUAUUAUUGCCUCUGUUAGAGAUGAAAGAAACAGGGGCCUGAAAGUGAUCCGUCCUCACUCCAGAGAGGAACGGCAUUUGGGUAGGCUGUGUGCCAGGGCCAAGGAUGCUCCGUCCCUCCUAGCUUUUGAUCUGUGGCCACAGGCAGCAGGGAGAGCUCUUCAGAUAGCUGUGAACUUCCUUCUUCCUGCUUUCUUGGGACCACUAAGACUGAUAAUUGUCUCUUCCUUGAAGCAGCUCCUUGACGGUCAGCAGGAACUAUGUGUUGUUUCACUUCCUAGCAAUUCUUUAUCCGUGGAUGGAGUUACCGCUCUGCGGAGCUCAUAGGUUAUGGAAGAUGAUUUCCGGGAGUCCUUGUCCGAUGAUAAAGGUCCUUCAAAGUUAAAUACUCUGAUCCCAGCCUUGCAACUGAGUGGCCCCCCACACCGCCAUCCCGUGUGACAUCAAUCCUAAGAGCAACCUGAACAAGUCUCAUCUAGGCCUCCUCAACCUGGCCUGUGUUCUAUCCCGCGGCCUGAAGACAGUCAGAGUCUUCUCCAUCUGCUCUGACAGCUGCGGGAAUUUCCUGUGUAAGCCUGGAGACGACAUCUGAUGAGACACCUGAUGACCUCGUCCACUCCAUGUAUCUGCAGGAGAAUGAGGCUCUGAGGAAGUCCGUGCACUCCCCCUACCCCUUUCCUGGCAGCCUGAGGAAGGGUAGAGAGGAAAGUGAGCUCUGUCUGCUUCCCUGAACUUGCUCCUUCCAGGGCGGGAAUGGGGUAGUCCUCCUGUGUGCUUCACUGCCCUGCAGGAAGCUAGGUCUGGACAGACUAGAGGGGAUAACUCAUGAACCCACAACAGCUUCAUUUCCCACAUGUAUGAGCUUCCCAGACGGGGGUUCGUGGUCAGAGUUACAGUUCUAGGCUUGUGGUGAAGCAGGCCUUGAAUCGGAUCAGAAAGAAAACAGUCGUUACCCCCAUACCAUUCACGCCACCACUACUACCGUGGGCACACUGCCAAGCCAGUCAUUACUGCGGCUUUCGGGGUUCACAACUGGGCAGCACGGAUUUUUCCCCCCUCCCACUCCAGCAGUCCACGGAACACCUUCCAUUGGUAUGAAAAGUUAACCAGUGGAGAGGAAGCUUCGUGGUCGGUACCUAAUUGAUGUCUCCAUGUCCUCUGUCAAGGUAUGUGGAGUCGUCAGCAACAGCGUCUUUCUAUCCCGUCCUGGUGGACAGCCAAGAGCAACGGCAGUGCCUAUAUUGUUUGGGGAUUCUGUGGGACAGAUGCCCUGACUAACAAUUUGAAGGGAAGUAUCCCACACCGGGCACCCGGCUGUUUGUCAGCCUAUGGCUGUGGGAGGAACAUUAGUCUCCGGGUAGAGUAAUUCCAACUAAACUCUUCGGGGCCAGGCAGAAAGCAGUUAGAUAUUUGGGGGUGCUGCCCCCAGAAGAGAUCAACAUAGUAUUCCUGGGACUCCAGUUAGUUCCUGAGAGAGUGAGUGAUUGGGAAAAACAAGACUGCUCCUCUUUGCCAUCUGACUUUUUGUCUAUCACGUGCUCUCUCCAUCUCACAGGUGCCCUCUAUGAUGUGACACAGACAGGGGACCCUCAUUAGGGCUGACUUUCAGCCUCUGAUACUGUAAGCUAAGCAAUCCUCUUUACAAAGCACCCCAGCCUCAGGUAUGUUGUUACAACAACAGAAAGCCAGUUAAUACAUUCUGUUGCUUCUGUAUCCCUGCUCAGGCUUCUCUCUCUUCCAGGUCUAAUUUACUGCACAUCUCUCUUAGCAUCCAGCAGAGUAGACUCUCACUGAACGUGUGAUGAGUGACUGAACAUGUAAUAACACGGAAUGAAUGUUGGACUUAGAGUGUCGGAAGUGAUCUGGAAAGAUAAAGCACUAUUUAAGUAGAGCCCAGUGAGUGCGUGGAAAGCAGGAGAAGAGAGGAGUACCUCCUGGGUAUGUGGCCCCGUCCUUAAAAGAUGGUAGAAGAGAGAACGUGUGGAAGCAUCACAUGGUAUUAAGUCCAAACACCAAAGCCACUAGCCAUGGCCAUGAGGAAAUCAUUUGCAAGAUAGGUAAGAGUCGGGGGUGAUCAAGGCAGAGUGCAUCUCCACAGCCUGUAUGGAAGGGGCUGUGCUGCCCUCGCGCCACAGGAAAGGUUGGGGGUGUUCAUCCAGGGGGAACCAGGGGUGGUGAGUGCACUCAACAUGGGGGACGGUGCAGUGCCCGGUCCUUCUCUGAUCAAGGUCAGGGAAUGCAACGGUGCAGUUUGGAAAGAGAGAAGAUCAGGAAGUGAAGAAGCCCCGUGAGCAGCGAGCUGGGACGGGGCUCGUGCCCUGGCCUCGUCGCUGGCUAACCCACUAAGUGGCGUUCAGCCAGUCUCUGCGGUCCGGUAUCUCACACUCACAGGAAAGGCAGCCUUUGACCUGGGAGAAGCUGCGGAGGCCUCCCAUGCUGAAUUACCCACCAGCAAGGAAGGGGGUGUCUGCUGGUUCUCAGCUCCAUUUCAUCCUUAGCCUGCCCCCUCUCACCUCUCCAGACGGGGCCAUUCAUCAGAUGAUGGGGCCGGGGGUUGGUAAAAGUACCAUCCACGGCCCUUUCUGUGGUCACAAAAUUGAGCUCAGCAUGCAUCACACGGCCUCUCUCUCCCUCAUCAAAACAGAAAGGAGGCUGACAGGCUGGCGCCACAGGCUGCAUCUCACUAAAUGAGACUGACCAGAGAUCGCGGUGGAGGCCUUGACUAGGGUUUAAAAUGCAGCCUGCACGGCUCGGAGCGAUGGAGGAGGGGCUCAGAGCGGCCUGCGCAGACGAGCUGUGGGGCUUUCAGAGGCCAGGGUGACUCAGUCAGGACAAAAUGGAUGGGUACCCUUCCGCUGAGCAGAUAUCAGUUUUCACAGUGUGCUUAGCCC